Molecule: long non-coding RNA, 247 nt
Filed under: Gossypium barbadense (sea-island cotton)
Lineage: Eukaryota; Viridiplantae; Streptophyta; Magnoliopsida; Malvales; Malvaceae
Description: long non-coding RNA (GBAR_LNC002545)
Source: RNAcentral
UUUAUUGUUUUUAUUUUACGUUGGAUACUAUUAUUACGUUUAAUAUAUCGCAUGCAUUGUUAUUGUUUUAAUAUUUUGUCAUAUUUAUUAUUUGUUUCAAUGUAUUUCCAACUCGUUUAUUUUUUGUCUCCCGCCCAUUUUAUAUCAUUCUGUUGUUCAUUACUUUAAAGAUUUUUAUUCAUGUUUUUACUAAUUUCAAUAAAUAAGGCAAUGUUUCGCAUUCUGGAACGUCGAAGAAUUGUGCCCU